RNAcentral lists this Y RNA (102 nucleotides) under Prolemur simus (greater bamboo lemur). RNAcentral's name for it is "Y RNA (ENSPSMG00000010149.1)". It matches the Rfam family "Y RNA". Rfam says of the family: Y RNAs are components of the Ro ribonucleoprotein particle (Ro RNP), in association with Ro60 and La proteins. Lineage: Eukaryota; Metazoa; Chordata; Mammalia; Primates; Lemuridae. The record is from Rfam by way of RNAcentral.
GGUGGGUCCGAGCGCAGUGGCGUUCACAACUAAUUGAUCACAAUCAGUUACAGAUUCCUUUGUUCCUUCUCCACUCCCACUGCUCCACUUGACCAGCCUUUA